CACGCUGAAGCUGAUUACAGCAUUUAACUGUUAAUUAAAAGGAAGCCUUAUUAGGUCAGUGUGA
Molecule: transfer RNA, 64 nt
Filed under: Elysia cornigera
Lineage: Eukaryota; Metazoa; Mollusca; Gastropoda; Plakobranchidae
Description: tRNA-Asn
Source: RNAcentral